Non-coding RNA from Dipodomys ordii (Ord's kangaroo rat), 70 nucleotides. The record is from Rfam. NCBI's taxonomy places the organism in Eukaryota, Metazoa, Chordata, Mammalia, Rodentia, Heteromyidae.
GGGAAGGUGGCUCAGUGGUAGAGUGCUUGCCUUGCAUGCAUGAGACCCUGGGUUCGAUUCCUCAGCCCCA